This 292-nucleotide small RNA is filed under the name Acidomyces richmondensis BFW. Its description in RNAcentral is "5' ureB small RNA". It matches the Rfam family "5' ureB small RNA". The record is from Rfam by way of RNAcentral. Lineage: Eukaryota; Fungi; Ascomycota; Dothideomycetes; Mycosphaerellales; Teratosphaeriaceae.
CGUCGUACGCCUGUUGGGGGCAUAUAAAAUGUAUGUGGCUGUCGAACCCACCCGCCGUUACGAUCUGGCCCUCGCUGGCAAUGACAUCUGUGUUCGAGCCAACGAUCAUGUUCCGACUUACGCCUUCCAUUACGUCGGGAUUCCCCGCUUUGCCAAUACCGCAGAUAAGACCGUCUUUGAUCCCAAUGUCUGCCUUGAAUAUUCCCGUCCAAUCGAUCACCAGCGCGUUCGUGAUGACCGUGUCCAAGCAUUCCUUGUCGGCGAUGCCGACCAUCUGGCCCAUACCAUCACG